UGAGGUAGUAGAUUGUAUAGUUGUGGGGUAGUGAUUUUACCCUGUUCAGGAGAUAACUAUACAAUCUAUUGCCU
RNAcentral lists this microRNA precursor (74 nucleotides) under Callithrix jacchus (white-tufted-ear marmoset). RNAcentral describes it as "let-7f stem-loop (cja-let-7f)". Its record names the gene cja-let-7f. It matches the Rfam family "let-7 microRNA precursor family", at positions 7 to 77 of the family's 84-position model. Rfam says of the family: This family represents the microRNAs (miRNA) let-7 and mir-98. let-7 was identified from a study of developmental timing in C. elegans, and was later shown to be part of a much larger class of non-coding RNAs termed miRNAs. Lineage: Eukaryota; Metazoa; Chordata; Mammalia; Primates; Cebidae. The record is from miRBase by way of RNAcentral.